AGAGUUUGAUCAUGGCUCAGGACGAACGCUGGCGGCGUGCCUAACACAUGCAAGUCGAGCGAGAAAGUCUCCUUCGGGAGGUGAGUAAAGCGGCGAACGGGUGAGUAACACGUGAGCGAUCUACCCGGCGGCGGGGGAUAACUCAGGGAAACCUGAGCUAAUACCGCAUACAGCACCGGCUUGGAAGCCGGAGGUGAAAGUUGGCCUCUCGACGAAGCUGACACCGUUGGAUGAGCUCGCGGCCUAUCAGCUGGUUGGUGGGGUAACGGCCUACCAAGGCGAUGACGGGUAGCUGGCGUGAGAGCGUGGCCAGCCACACUGGGACUGAGACACGGCCCAGACUCCUACGGGAGGCAGCAGUGGGGAAUAUUGCGCAAUGGGCGAAAGCCUGACGCAGCGACGCCGCGUGGGGGAGGAAGGCCCCAGGGUUGUAAACCCCUGUCAGGUGGGACGAACCACGGAUCGGUCAAUACCCGGUCCGCCUGACGGUACCACCAGAGGAAGCUCCGGCUAACUCCGUGCCAGCAGCCGCGGUAAUACGGAGGGAGCGAGCGUUGUUCGGAAUCACUGGGCGUAAAGGGCGCGUAGGCGGUCGGGUAAGUCGGGUGUGAAAUUCCGGGGCUCAACCCCGUGAACUGCAUCCGAUACUGCUCGACUAGAGAGAGGUAGGGGCGAGUAGAAUUCCCGGUGUAGCGGUGGAAUGCGUAGAUAUCGGGAAGAACACCGGUGGCGAAGGCGGCUCGCUAGGCCUCAUCUGACGCUGAAGCGCGAAAGCGUGGGGAGCCAACAGGAUUAGAUACCCUGGUAGUCCACGCCGUAAACGAUGGGUACUAGGUGUUGGGAGGAUUGACCCUUUCAGUGCCGACGCUAACGCAUUAAGUACCCCGCCUGGGGAGUACGGCCGCAAGGCUGAAACUCAAAGGAAUUGACGGGGGCCCGCACAAGUGGUGGAGCAUGUGGUUUAAUUCGAAGCAACGCCAAGAACCUUACCUGGGCUUGACAUGUUGGUAGUACUUCCCUGGAAACAGGGGGGGACCCUUCGGGGAGCCAUCACAAGUGCUGCAUGGCUGUCGUC
RNAcentral lists this ribosomal RNA (1075 nucleotides) under uncultured bacterium. Its description in RNAcentral is "bacterial SSU rRNA". It matches the Rfam family "Bacterial small subunit ribosomal RNA", at positions 8 to 1056 of the family's 1533-position model. The record is from RNAcentral.